AAGGUAACGCCAGUGAGGAGUGGGAACGGUGGGAAGGUGACACCGGUGAGAAGUGGGAACCGCAGGAAUGUAACGCCGUUGAGGAGAAGUGGGAACGGAGGGAAAAGGUAACGCCAGUGAGGAGUGGGAACGGUGGGAAGGUGACACCGGUGAGAAGUGGGAACCGCAGGAAUGUAACGCCGUUGAGGAGAAGUGGGAACGGAGGGAAAGAAAAUGCCAACAGUGUGCUUUUGGCUGUGUUUUGUGUUUAUUUUUUAAACUAGACCAGAUGUUUCAGCAUUUACAUAAAAAUAAACAUGCAAAUACAGUCUUACAAAACGUUGAAGAGAGAGGCCUCAGAGAAGAGAGUGCUGCCGCUGUCCAAGUGUGCCAUGAGCUGCAGCAGCCUCUGCAGCAGGGCCUGCUGGACCAGGAGUUCAGAACGAGGCUCUGCUCUAAUGACACAGCAAGGCUUCAAAAAUAUCUUCCAGUGAAUGGAUGGGUAGUUAGCUGGAAGCCAUGAUGCUAAACAGGUAUGAUGCAACUGCCAUUUCUGUGAACCAAAAAAGAAUAUACAUGUACACAUCACCUGUGCACGGUGUCUGCAGAAGGCAGAGGGAAGGCAGGUAGAAGCAUUAAUUAAGAGCUGCAGAUUCAUCAGAUAAAAAUGUGUGACCCCAGGUUAGGUGCUGGGAUGCAGCAAUGCUGAGUUCCUGGGAUCCUGGGAUGCUGGAGGGCAUGUGCACACCACCCUCGGCCGUCAUCCUGGAGACGCGGGAGCUCGGCUGCCAGGUUGCUGAUACGCUCCAUGUUCAGGAGCUGUCCCACCGGGAAAGGUGUCCGUGGGGGUGAGGAGCCCUCUUCUGAUCCUCCUGCUUUCCUGGGGGGUGAAGCUGCUUUCCCAGAAAACACCAGGCCCCCCUCCCAGCUGCCGGACCCCACAGUGUGGUCUUUGUCCCCAGGGGCAGUGCUUUCUGCCCCUUUUGUUCUCUGCUGAUCCCCAGAGCCUGGCCCUGCACAGGUCGUCGGUGAUGUCUGUGGAUUAGAGACCUGCUCCCCUGUGCCUCCACAGGGGAGGGCCACACAUGCAUACACAUGCACACUCAGACACAUGGUCACACACAUGAUCAUGCUUACAUGUCACACACUAUACACACGCACUCUUGUGUACACAUGGCACACACUUACCCUAACGCAGCCACACAGUUCACACACACCCACCCCCUCCUGCUGACACUCUCACAGUCACACACAUGCACUCACCACACCCUCCCCUAGUGGGCUCUGGGGUUCCACCAACCGUAGCUGGGUGGCCACCCCAUGGUCUUCACCACUGCGUGGCCCAACACACAAAGGUGGCCUGGGGUCUCUCCCGACUCUAGGUCAGUUCUUCCUGGUUCCCUGGGCCAACAUUCUCCUGCGGGCCCAGUCUCAGUCAGCCCUCACACGUGGGGAUUCCAGCCCAGCCCCCUUUCCCAGACUCCACACUUGGAUUCUCAAGCCAUAGGUAAAGUAGCCGUGCCGGCACCGACUGGCCCCAAAGUGGAGCCGAUGCCACAAAGCACUGCCGGGCCAGACACCAGCCAGGCAGAGUGAGGAGAGCACAGGCCCCUGGGACAGCGGUGCAGGUCGGCUUCCAGCCAACUUUGGGGUCCCCAGGACCCCGCCUUUCUGGAGGGGUCACCAAGCCAGAGCUGGGCUCCACCUGGCCAUUUGUGAGAUGUGCAGCUUUGUGAGCUGGUGCUGCCCCUGGGGCAGUUUAAACAGCGGUGGUGGGAGGAUGUGCAAAUGCUUCCAACCAGGGGCUUCAUUUUCGCUUUUCCCUGGAGAGCCUGCUUGCCAGCACCCCGCUACCAGGGACCCUCCGUGCCUCCCCAACUCCACCUAACCCCUUCUCCAGCUCCCCUAGUGGGGGGCGGCACCUUGCUCUUCUGAGCGGAGCCGGGGAGAGCGAGGACCCCGCACAUCACCACGUCCCUCCUGCCCCCGGCUUCUGCUUGCCUGUCCCCAGGAGCUGGGAUGCCAGGUCGAUUUCAACUAAGUUCUCUUUUACGGACAUACACACCAGUGGGAUUUGAUUACUGGCCUCACCUGCGCUGGAAGAAGCUCUAUCUUUAACUUCUGUUCUGCUCAUUCUGCUCAUGUAUAUAUUCUGAGAUGUUUUAAACAACAAUUCACCCAUCUUCCUGGCUUUCACCUGAUGAAAUUACAAAUGUUCAGAAUUCUCACCACCUUCUGGUUAAGCAAGUGUCAUGGAUUGAACUGUGUCCCCCUGAAACUCUUAUGCUGGAGUCCUAGUCCCACGGCCUCAGAAUGUGGCCUUAUUUGGAGACAGGGUCUUCACAGAGGUGAUCUAUUUAACAGGAGGUCCCAGGGUGGGCCCUAAACCCCAUGGCUGGUGUCCAUAUAAGAUGGGCACAUUUGGACACCGAGACACAGACAAGAAGACGACCACAUACGGCCACGCGGGGUGCCCUCCAAGGAACCAACUCCGGCCGCACCUUGUUCUCGGCCUUCCCGCCUCCUUUCCCGCUGUUUAAGCCGCCCAUGAGAGUGCCCCGUGAUGGCAACGCCAGCGGGCGCAUAUACAGCAGGCCUCUGGGGUCCAGCCUGGGAGCCCAGACACAGACACCGUCUCUACCUGGCAAGAUGGGGUGAUGAAAUGAGAAAUGAAUAGAUCUGGUCUCUGCUCCCGAGACCCCGCACAGGGCUCCAAAAGCCCUCGAAUUUCCUGGGUGAUGGCAGCAGAUUCUUCCAUUCAAAUGAGGUGAGGCUUGGUGGCUCCUGGAGGGGGUCCAGUCACCAGAGAGACCAGCCAGGAUUAGCACCUGCAGCUCUCAACCCUGCACCCACCCUCCUCCAGGGAUCAUCCACCAUCAUCCUUCAUGUCUGCGAUGGAGCCUCCAUAAGAAUGCCUGGACUAUGGGUCCCGAGCAGUUCCAGGUUGCUGAACACAUCCACGGGCCAGGAGGGUGGUGCCCCCCACUCCACGGACACAGAAGCUCCUGGGCUGGGGACCCUUUCCGACCCUGCCCUGUGCCCCGGCCCACCUGGCUGCCCAUCUGCGGCCUUUCUCAUCUCCUUUUCCUGCGUUCUGUGAUAAUUUUGUGUUGCACUCUUGAUAUUUAAGGCUAAUGUGUAACUAGAAAACUGAGUUUUAAUAUUUAAUGCCCUUGGAUUUGGGAAAUCUCUUACUACAUUAUGUUUGGAUAUACUUUCUCUGAGGGGAUAAAUAUUUUAUCGAGGCUG
Molecule: long non-coding RNA, 3228 nt
Filed under: Homo sapiens (human)
Lineage: Eukaryota; Metazoa; Chordata; Mammalia; Primates; Hominidae
Description: HSALNT0170519
Source: RNAcentral